CGCUUAACACACGCAAGUCGAACGGACUUUAUCUUUCGGGAUAAAGUUAGUGGCGCACGGGUGAGUAACGCGUGGGGACGUGCCCAUGGGUGGGGGAUAACUAAGGGAAACUUUAGCUAAUACCGCAUAAGCCCUGAGGGGGAAAGAUUUAUCGCCGAUGGAGCGACCCGCGUCAGAUUAGGUAGUUGGUAGGGUAAAGGCCUACCAAGCCGACGAUCUGUAGCUAUUCUUAGAGGAAGAUCAGCCACACUGGAACUGAGACACGGUCCAGACUCCUACGGGAGGCAGCAGUGGGGAAUAUUGGACAAUGGGGGAAACCCUGAUCCAGCAAUGCCGCGUGAGUUAUAAGGCCUUCGGGUUGUAAAGCUC
Molecule: ribosomal RNA, 369 nt
Filed under: uncultured organism
Description: bacterial SSU rRNA
Rfam family: Bacterial small subunit ribosomal RNA
Source: RNAcentral